GGGCGUGUACUGGUUUCGAUUUAAUAGUACACUUAUGUUAGGCAUGUAGAGGAUGAUAGUUGGCCUCUUUAAGUAUCUAUCAAAACAUUAACUGCUGAAGAAAACGUAGUUAGCUAUGACUUCUCUUAUGAUGAAGUAGUAGCAAUCGCAGCCUAAGUUGCUGCACAUUCAAUAUAAUGAUGUCUGAUAAUUGUAUUGGGUGUAAACCAUCAGGCUGGACCAAAUAUUUGAUUUGUGUAAAUGGUCGAGAUAAUAGCAAAUCUUAAGGGUAAUAUUUUUAGGUAUUUUUUAUUAUUAACCCCUAACAAUUCAAAAUACAUAAACAUGUAGUCUGAUGUAGGAUAUCUGUUAAAGACGCGCGUUCAACUCGCGCCACGUCCACCA
Molecule: transfer-messenger RNA, 384 nt
Filed under: archaeon
Lineage: Archaea
Rfam family: transfer-messenger RNA
About the family: Bacterial tmRNA, also known as 10Sa RNA or SsrA, is named for its dual tRNA and mRNA-like properties. Its role is to liberate the mRNA from a stalled ribosome.
Source: RNAcentral